UUUGACAAUAGAGGAUUGAAGCUGAGAUGGAACAAACUGGAAGACAAAUGGGCAAAUGCCUCAAAAUAUAGAUGGCAAAGGCUAUGCGAGGUCGCAGGCUGCGCGAGGCAGCAAGGGGCUGCAUGAAGGCUACAAGAGGUUGCAGGAAGCUCCAGGAGACUACAGGAAGCUCUAGAAGGCUGCAAGAGAUUGCAAGAAGCUCCAGGAGGCUGCAGGAAGCUCUAGGAGGUUGCAGGAGGCUGCAGAAGGUUGUGCAGAGACAACAAUCUCCCAAACGAGCAAGAGUCCUCAAGAUAUCGACGGCAUAGAAACCACAAUAGUGGCGAUCAAGGAAAACCCGGAUUGAACCAUGAUCGAAACCGAUUGAGCACGUAGCAAUGACUUUGGGCCACCAGUUGGCAACAAUGAACAGAUCGGAAAGAUCCGAGCCUAAUGGUAUGUUGAUGAACGCAAAUGAACAAUAGCAUACAGAACAAAGGCGACGACAGAGACGGGUGGUGGAGGAAAAGAAGAAGAAAAGAUAAAAAAGUGAAUAAAAAGAUGAAGGAAAAAAAAAACCCGCACAAUAUUCCGUAGCCGGAAGCGGAAGCGGCUAACCAAAAGCAACCUAGCUCUGAUACCAAAUAGAAAUUUAGAAAAGCAUAAUAUUAUUAAUCACACUCCUCUCAAUAUAUAUUACAUCCUAUAUUCUAAGUAAGGAAAACUAAAUAAGUAGAAUAAUCAGAAAAUCAAUAUGGUCAAUAUGACC
Molecule: long non-coding RNA, 748 nt
Filed under: Actinidia chinensis (golden kiwifruit)
Lineage: Eukaryota; Viridiplantae; Streptophyta; Magnoliopsida; Ericales; Actinidiaceae
Description: long non-coding RNA (ACHI_LNC007596)
Source: RNAcentral